GCAAGUGCAGGAGGCAGGGAAGGGAGAAGGGGAGAGAAGGUCACUCCUUCCUGCUGAUUCAGGUCAACCCGUGUGUCAAGUUCUACCCUUGUUUCCUCUGCCAGAUACUCUUGCACCACGUGGACACACAGCUCAUGCCCUCGUCUCCUUUAGGCCUCUCCUCCAACGUCAGUUCUCCAAUGUCCUGGACUGCAGUUCCCAGGAACUACAUUCUCCCAGACCCCAUCUUGAUCCCUACUUUCCUCCAUGCUUUCUUGUUCCCUUCCACCACCACUGGUCUUUCUCCAUGCUCAAUUUAUCUACUUUCUCUCUCUGAAAUGUGAGCUCCAUGUGGGCAGCUGUCUUUGAUUUGUUCUCUGCUGUGUCCACAGCACCUAGUAGGUGCUCACUAAUCAUCUGUGGCACGAAUUCUCCAAAACCACCUUACCAAAUUUGUUUCUCCCUAUGCACUUCAUGUGGUCCAGGUGUGGUCAUGUGACCUAAGCAGGACCAAUCCAGGAUUGAUUUCAGUGGAGCUGCUGAGAAGAUUGCUUUUCCCACCCACUCUCCCAGCAUCCAGAGCUCCCGUGACUCGUGAACUGCAUUCCAUAUGUUGAUAUGGAGAAGGAAAUGGCAGCCCACUCCACUAUUCUUGCCUGGAGAACCCCCAGGGACAGAGGAGCCUGGGGGGCUACAGUCCAUGGGGUCGCAAAGAGACAGGACUUAUUGACUAAGCAACAAAAAUGCAUUCCAGGCAUUUUACAGGUGCUGUGAGUGUCAGGUGAUGUGUUAGGUUCCUAGGGCAAGUUAUUACAAACUGAUUGGCUUAAUGCAACAGAAAUCUAUCAUUUCCUUAUUAUUAUCAUAAUCUAUUAAACCUAUGACUUCUGCAGGUUGUUAGUCCAAACUUGGCAGGGACACAGCCCUCCCAGGUGCUCCAGAGGAAAAUCCAUUCCUUGCCUCCUCCAGCUUCUGGUGGCUCCGUAUUCCUUGGCAUGUGGCCGCAUCACUCUAAUCUCUGCCUCUGUCUUCCUGUGUUCUUCCCUGCGUGUCUGUCUCUGCUUCUCUCAUAAAAGGAUGCUUGUAAUUGCAUUUAGUGCCCAUCUGAAUAAUCCAGGGUAAAUUCCACCUCAAGACCCUUAACUUAACCGCAGCUUUUCCAUAUAAGGAAACCUGUGAAGGCUCUGGGAGAGAAGUGGGCAUACCUUUUCUCGCUUUAGGAGUCACCAUUCAGCUCUCUAUAUUAUUUGCUUAAAGACCAGAAAAGCAAAGGUUUCCCACCACCACUUCAUUGGCCUGACAGAUAUGUGAUGAAAAGAGUAUGAUCAUCAUAUUACCUUGCUCCCGUCAAGUGUGGAAAUGAUUUUUUAAAUGCCAUUUUCUGUGUUUUUAAUUAUCCCAGUUUUCAAAAAUAAUACCCUGCAUAUGGUAAGAAAACCAGUACGGAAACAUGGGAGAUACAGGAGCCCCUUUGCAAUUUUCCUCUUAACUCCAGUUUCACUUUUUAAAUGUAAUCACCAUAUGCAGCCUGCAUAAUCUUCAUAAAUUUUCUAAGCAUAUUCGAGAGCACACACUUUUUUGGCUUCUAACGUUAAGAACAGUGGCGGGGGGCUGGGAUGGUUUAUGUCCGAAGGCAUGACAGCCCUCUGACCUGCCAGAAGCUUUCUAAUGACUUCUAGCAACGCACCACACUUAAGCUGUCCCCUACUGUCAGCACUUCGGUUAACUGCAGGAUUUUAAUGUUACAGAUACUCUCUGGUAUCUGUCCAGCUAUACUCCAUCGGAUACACUCCUAGACAUGGGAUUUCCAGGCCAAUGUGUACAUUUUAAAUUUCUACAGCUAUUGCCCAGUGCCAUUCACCAAGGUGGUGAAAUUCACACGCCCAUCGAGAAUGCACAGGUGAGGGUGUCUCUUGCCAACACCCUCGCCCAUCCUGUCAAGACAGCAGCAUGUCAGAUCUCAAACUCAGGUAAGUGGACUUUCCAUGUGGGCCUGAUGGGGUGGACACCGCCCGAGAGGUUGUCCCUGUAGCUGUCUGAGGCACUGAGCUGCUCAGAGCUCUCGUUUAGGUUUUAUAAACAAAGACAGAGUCUGGGUAGGUGAGCCAGAACCAUGCAGUGAGACGCAUUGUGCAACUCAGUAUUUAUUUCUUUAGCACAGCUAGGACUUAAAUAUGGUCAAAACAUAUUCUCCUUUUAAUUUACACAAACAAAUAUGUUCCCGGGCUGACACCUCCUGUGCCAAGUUUCUAGGGGAAACGAAAUUCUACUGUGAGAAGAGAAACCACCAGAGAGAAAAGGGUGGAAAAGCCAUCACUGUCUGCUUCGCACGUCCGAGCUGGGCUUCUCGGAGGGGUGUUUCAGAACUGGGCUGCUGCCUCUUGGUCUCUUUCUGUCUUUGUUGCAGAUAAACCUGCCAGUAAUUUCAGCAAAUGAAACGUGGAACAUGUAAAGGCCAAAUGAUGGAAAACACUCCGGUUUUAAUAAAAGGUCUGCUCGGCUGAGACUCCUCUGUCCUGCUAGUCAGGAGAUGCAAAGAUUUAUCCAGAGAGGGGCUGAUGAAUUGAAGAAACAGAAAUGAGGCCAAUACCGGGGAUUGAACCCAGGCCACGGCAGCAAAAGCCUGGAAUCCCAACCACUAAGCCACCCGAGAACUCCCUGGGACCAGCUUCUUAAUUUGAAAACUGUCAAUAAAGAGGAAAGAGUCAAGCAUAGAAGAAAAAGAGAGGAGAGGAGAAUCUUUGGGUGCAGAUCAAGAAAGAGGAUAUCCACACUUUGCAACUUGAGAGUAUCCAGCUAUGCCAAACCCAUAGAAUAUUUUUACGUAACUCAGUGCUCAUAUUGCCAUGAAGUAAGUACUAUUCUUCCAACUAUUUUAUGGAGGAAGUGAGAUACUCGCCCAGGGCUCCACUGUGGGUACAUGGCCCUGCCUUCUUCGCUCAGCCCUCUGCAUUGAUUCGGCUCUGAAAUGCAGCAGCAGAGCCAGGAAACCAGAACUUCCAGGAGAUGAAAAGCUCACCAGGUCAAACUCUAUUUUGCAGUUAAGGAAACAAUGGCCCAGAGAGACCAAGUAACUUAUUCCAAGCCACACAGCAAACUGGCUGCUUAACCUGUGUCCAAGCUGCUUGGGGAAGUCCCACAUGCUAAGGGAGGCUGCUUCCUGCCUCAUUUCAGCCUGUCCCAGGGUGGGGUGACCAGCCAUCUUGGGGUUUCCCGGGACUGGGAACUUUAGGUGCUUAAAUCAAGAAAGUCCUGAGCCAACUGGGAUGAGUCAGUCACUCUGUCUCAGAGCGAGGCAUCUAAAGGGUUGUUUUCUAGGAUGUGAGAACCAGUGCCAAGUGCCCACAGAAGUACUGGGGUUUCAUGCCUUAUAUAAUUAAAAUUGAUUAUUAAUAUCUAGGCUCCCUCACCCCAGCCAGACUCCCCACCCACAGGAGGCGGGGACUAGUACGUAAUGUACACUUCUGUUUUACAGCCCCUGAUUCAACGGUGACACAUGAAUGAUGCUUAGUAAACAGUCAUCAAAUGGACCAACCAACCAGGCUAUCACCACUUCUGACUGUGCCUCCAUUUGAAAUUGCAGAAACCCUCUAUAGCCAACGUGACCUCCAGUUCUCAUUUCAGACAGGCUGACAUCCACGAUGUCACAUGGUAGAAGGUGACUCCAGAGAGGCUGACUACAAGGCUUCUGGAGGGAGCUAUGGCAGACAAGAGCGGGUGUGGUUUUUCUUUAAUUAUUGUACCUGUUUUGUCUGUUCUUUCUUGGCUCUGUUCACAUCCCCACCCCAGCACCAGUGCAGGAAAAAAAAAAAAAAGAAAAAAAACAGAACAAAAACAAAACAUCGCAGAGUUUGAGACAAGAUAGCUGGCCCAUUCCCUCUCUGCUUGUAAUUAAUGCUGAAAAUGACUUGCCUUGGCCACAAAGGUAAUAAUAAAGUCAGGAAGUCUGAUUAUUUGGCUACUAAUUUCCUUCUAGGUUCCCCCACCCCUUCUCCUUUCCUUAAAUUAAUUCCAGAGUUCCUCCAGAUUUCUCGUUGCUAAGCUAUAAAGUUCCAGGUUUCCCAGCGCCCAUGCUGAUUGGCAGGGAGGUUCCAGGCAGCUCCAAUCAGAGGCAGGUUGCUGAAAGGAGCAUCCACAUUGCAGCUUGCCCCGGGGUACUGGAAUUUUUUCCCUGAUGUUAUGAACCAUCAAAGUCUUUCUCUAACUGUGCAAAACCUGUUCUCUUGAUCUUGUCUGCAUCUCUCUUGGUGUGCAGGCUACUGGGGGCACACCAGAGUCCUGGAAUAUCCCCCUGGUCCUGGAGGAAUAGAGUCCCUGGGUUGCCAGGUUUGGGGUCAGUGAAGGAAAUGCCCAGGGCCUGUUCAUGGCUGACCAGAGAUGACAGCGUGGUGUCCUGCCACGGGCUGGGGGCUGCCUCAGACCCCGCCUGUCUGACCUCUCUCGUGCCAUCUCUUAAGUUUGGUGAAAGGCUCAAGGGGAUUGAGGGAGAGUAGAUGCCGCUGCAUGUAGGGUUGUUCAGGGGUAGAGGCUGCAUUUGUAAAGACAUUAAAACAUGUAGAUGGGGACUUCCCUGGUGGUCUGGUGGUUAAGAAUCUGCCUUGCAAUGCAGGGGGUGCAGGUUCGAUCUCUGGUCAGGGAACUAAGGUCUCACGUGCUGCGGGGCAACUAAGUCCGCGUGCCACAACUCCAGAGCCCAGGCACCACAGUGAAAGACCAGACGCAGCCAAAUAAAUAAAUAAAAACAUGUAGAUGGUAAGGGCACCUGGGAGGACCAUUCUGGUGUUUCACUUCCAGAACACUGAUAAUGAGCAGCCACUGUGAACUAAGUUCCUACUGUGUGCCAGAAACUUAUAUGUUUUAGAACCACUGUCUUGAGGAAUUGUUGACAUAUAAAAAGCUGUCUACAUUUAAUGUAUACAACCUGAGUUUGGAGAUAAGUAUACACCCGUGGGACAUAGAGAACAGAGUGGUGGUUGCCAAGGGGGAA
Capra hircus (goat) is the source of this 4966-nucleotide long non-coding RNA. RefSeq lists it as uncharacterized. NCBI's taxonomy places the organism in Eukaryota, Metazoa, Chordata, Mammalia, Artiodactyla, Bovidae. The transcript is spliced from 4 exons. The record is from RefSeq and is a predicted model, not a curated record.